RNAcentral lists this long non-coding RNA (18388 nucleotides) under Homo sapiens (human). Its description in RNAcentral is "non-protein coding lnc-UCK2-1:7". The record is from RNAcentral. Lineage: Eukaryota; Metazoa; Chordata; Mammalia; Primates; Hominidae.
GGAACUAUUUCAGAGCCAGAGGAGGAUAGUGGCGGCGGCGAACUUUGCCCGGUAGAUUUUACUGACUGGGGUGCUGGCGCGCGCCUUUUUCUCGGCCAGAAUCCAGUUAUUGGGAUAGUCUUGACUUCUACCUCAGCCCAACUUCUGUGGUCGUAAUAUUAGUUUAGCUUGGGUUUGCCGUGAAGUAAGAAGACUGACUUCCGCAAAGGUACUGAACGACUGGGUGUAGGUGCCAGGGCAUGGACGUGAAGCUGGAACCGCGAAAUGAGUUAGUUGUGGGCCGCUGGCCUCAAGGAGCGAACGUCAGCGCGAAGAGGAGAAGCUUGUGCAUACGCUCUGAUAAGGGUUUUAAUAGAGGUAUUACCACAGUGCUGCGUGACACGGUUGAGAGAGUGGUCAGAAGAAGCUAAUGAAAGGAAUUGAAGCAGUGCCUUAGGGGAGUAGGAGUACUUUUGGAGAUAGCAAAGGACUUUCUAGGCAAAGUGGAAGUCAAAGCACGGAUGCCUGAAAAUUCAUAGUGUGAUAGUGCAGUGAGUAAUGUAUCUAGAGAAGGGGUCUUAAACCCAGAUGCCUAGACUGGCGAGAGAAAAUAAAUUAUCUUAUGCAAGCUGAGCCUAAACAAAUGGUGGAAGUUACUACGAUGGAUAAGUGAGCAUUAAGUUCAUCUGAAAGGAGAAUUUGAUACCCAAAUCCAACCCAUUUCUCUAGGAGAAUGAGCACCCAGUUUCUGAGAUGUCUUCGUUUCUCAGGAAAAUCCAGAAAUCCUGGGUUUUAUGUGAAACUUAAUUUAUAAGUGUUGCUAACUAAUUAAAAUUCAAAAAUGUCUCAGCAGCGUGGUUUCAGCCAUUGUAGACGGUUUCAGCUUUUUCACACUGGGGUGUGUGUGUGUAUGGGUGAAAACCUGGAAGCUGGCUGAGCUGUAUCCUCUUGUACUUCCUCCUAUCAUUGGUGUUUUUUUGUUUGUUUGAGAUGGAGUUUCACUCUUGUUGCCCAGGUGGAGUGCAAUGGCACAAUCUCGGCUCACUGCAACCUCUGCCUCCGGGUUCAAGCCAUUCUCCUGCCUCAGCCUCCCAAGUAGCUGGGACUACAGGUGCCCGUCCCCACGCCCAGCUAAUUUUUUGUAUUUUUAGUAGAGACGGGGUUUUGCCAUGUUGGCCAGGCUGGUCUUGAACUCCUGACCUCAGAUCCACCCACUUCGGCCUCCCAAAGUGCUGGGAAUACAGGCGUGAGCCACCGUGGCCGGCCCUCAUUGGUUCUUUUAAACUGUACUGCACUUAAAUAUAUAAUUCUCCUAAACACUACUUUUGACUUUUUUUUAGCUUUAUGUGCAUUUCUUGUCUCCCAGACUUAGCAACAGAGACCCUGUCUCCUUUUUAAGAAACAUUAUUGAGCUUCUACUAUAUGUCAAGAACUGUGGUAGGCACUGUAGGGUCAAAAGGAUGGUUAAGAGAAUAUUCCUGACUUCUAAGGGCCCAGGGAGAUUAUAUAAUAUAAUAAGAUUAUAGGUAUUAUAGAGGUAUUCUUAAAAUGUUGAGGGGGUACAGAUGAAAACAAGAUGUAUUCUUCCUGGGGAGUUGGAAAGGUUUCAGAAAGAUCAUAUUUGAGCUAGACCUUUAUUUGAGCAGUUCAGACAAGGAUAGGUUUUUAUUCACCUUUGUAUCACCCAAGGUAAGUGCUGAGAUAACAAUAAGAGCAUGAUCUUGGAAAUCAGACCUGAUUUUAAAUUCUUGCUCUGCCACUUACUUGACAGCAGUCCUAGAACCUAUUGUUUAGCAUCUUUGAGCCUUCAAAAUGGUGGUAACAUCAGCUAUGAAGACUGGAUGAGGAAAAGUAUAUUAUAAAGCAUUUCAAGCAGUGCUUGGCACACACAAUUCAUCAAAUUCAACAUGCUAUUCAUUGUAAGACGCAUCAUUAUUUUAUCUACUACUAAAGAGGAAAAAAUAACUAAUUAAACCAUGACACACCAUUGAUUGUAAGAAGAAUCCCAUUCAGAGAUGUUAAAAUAUGAAAAAAUGAGAAAAUAUGAAAUAUAUUAAUAAGCAGUUAAGUUAUUCCUGUGUAAAUGUUUACAACCAUGGACUGCUAGGAUACACUUCCUUUUCUAGGGUAAUGAUGUCAUGACACUAUGCCCCUUGUUUAAGAACAGUGCUAGAAGUCAGGCGCGGUGGCUCACGCCUGCAAUCCCAGCACUUUGGGAGGCUGAGGCGGGCGGAUCACGAGGUCAGGAGAUUGAGACCAUCCUGGUUAACACGGUGAAACCCCGUCUCUACUAAAAAUACAAAAAAAUUAGCUGGUCGUGGUGGUGGGCGCCUGUAGUCCCAGCUACUCGGGAGGCUGAGGCAGGAGAAUGGCGCGAACCUGGGAGGCGGAGUUUGCAGUGAGCCGAGAUGGCGCCACUGCACUCCAGCCUGGGCGACAGAGCAAGACUCGGUCUCAAAAAAAAAAAAAAAAAAAAAAAAGGAACAGUGCUAGAGACAAGUUCAGAUAACAUCUUUUCUAGAUUCUACUAGUUUUCUUUGUUAUAUUCCCAAAUUCUCUAAGCUCUUAGUUGUACUAUCUAAUUUUUAGAUUUCAAAGCUUUCCCCAUGAGGACUGCUCUCCCAAAGCUCACUGACCUCCUCCAAUCUCUAGUACAAUAGGAAGACUUUUGUCCUGGGACUUAAUUUUACUAUUCUCUUGAAACCACAUUUUUGUUUCUAGUUUAUACUUGAUGUUGUGGUACAUCUUCAAGUAACUUUCUGUGAAAGGUGAAUGGGAGCUAAGCCUGUUCUUACAUUAUUAGUAGAAUUAGUAAUAAUAAUACUGUUGUUGCUUUGGGGUUGUGUUUUGUUUUCUAGAGACAGGGUCUCACUUUGUUGCCCAGGCUCGGUCUCGAACUCCAGGGCUCAAAGCAGUCCUCCUGCUUCAGCCUCCCAAAGUGUUGGGAUUACAGGCAUGAGCCACCAUGCCCAGCCAAUACUGUGCUUCAUUUUUAUUUAUUUAUUUAAUUUAUUUUUGAGAUGGAAUCUCACUCUGUCGCCCACGCUGGAGUGCAGUGGCACAAUUUUAGUUCACUGCAACCUCUGCCUCCCGGGUUCAAGCGAUUCUCCUGCCUUAGCCUCCGGAGUACCUGGGUUUACAGGCAUGCACCACCAUGCCCAGCUAAUUUUUGUAUUUUUAGUAGAGACAGCGUUUCACCUUUUUGGCCAGGCUGGUCUUGAUCUCCUGACCUCAAGUGAUCCACCCACCUCGGUCUCCCAAAGUGCUGGGAUUACAGGCAUGAGCCACCGCGCCCAGCCCAAUACUGUUCUUUAAAUACACAUUUAAUACUAAGCUAGGCAUUGUAAAAGAUUAUAAGAGAAUUAUAAAUACCUGCUUACACUCUGACAUUUGAAACAAUAUGAACUUUACGUUUCAAUUUUAGCCCCACUGCAUGUAAGCUACCUUAUUUUAGCAAGUUACUUAAUUUAUCUGAGCCUCAUUGUUUUAAAUCUGUAAAGUAUAAGUAAAAAUAUCUACCUUCAGGAAUUACCGUGAGGUUUGUAUAGGGUUGGGAACAAAGUUCUGGAGUCAGACUACUUGUAUUCAAAUCCUGGCUUCUCCAUUUAACUAGAUGUGCAGUUUUAGGCAAAUUACUUCACCAUACCAUGCCUUGGUUUUUCUGGAAUGUAAAAUGUCAUAAUAGUAUGUAAAUUUAAAGGAUUUUAUUUUUAAAAAAAUAUGUAAGGAAAGUGUUUAGAAGGUACAUGGUCUGUCUGUGGAUAUACCAGAAUCAAUCUAUUGUGUUCUUUUCCCCAAACUCCAAUAUUCCCUUGUUCUCUUAAUGAGUAGCACCACCAUCUAACUGGUUUUCAAGCCAAAAAUAAGGGAACUAUCUUCAGUAACUCCCUCUUUAUCUCGCGUUUACUUUGCAAGUUCCAUGGAUUUCCCCCUUUUCAUAUCUUUUUACACAUCUUUCAGUCCCCUCUACUACACUUCAAUUCAGUUCAUCAUUAUCUCCACUCGUAUUACAGCUUUCUAACUGGUCUCCAAUUGUAUACCCAAUUUUGUCCCCUUCAGGCCAUUCUUCUCAUUUAGGCAGUAGUGAUCUUUGUCAAAUACAAAGAUGACUGGGUGUGGAAGAUUGGGAAGAAGAAGGAAUUGGGGGGCAGCUCGCAGAUUUUUUUCUUAGAUACCUGAAUGAAUUCAUAUCAGAGAAAACAGGAGAGGAAUCCGGUUUUUAGGAGAAGAUUUUUUUUUUUUCCUACUGGGCUAGCAGGACUAGAUGAAGACCUUCAGAAACCCUGGGCACUGAGAAGAUCAUAAGGUCUCUUCCCAAAUAUAAUUAAAAAUAAAAUACUAAGGUGAAAUAUAUUUUAAUUAUUAUUUUUGAACUUAUUUUUUCCAAAUGUUUUCCCUCGAGUCUGUGCAUGUGUGCCCUAAAUACAUGUUUCAUCGGCUAGUUGGAUAAUCCUGUACUGUUGUGUUUUCUUUUAGAGAUGGAAUCUCGCUGUGUCACCCAGGCUGGAAUGCAGUGACUCGAUCAUAACUCACUAUGACCUCGAACUCCCAGGCUAAAGCAGUCCUCAAGCAAUCCUUCCACCUCAGCCUUCUGAGUAGCUGGGAGUAGCUGAUUAACUAAUGCGUGUCACCACGCCCAGCUAAUUUGUGUAUGUGUGUGCACAGGUGUAGAGCUAGGGGUCUUGCUAUGUUGCUCAGGCUAGUCUUGAACUCCUGGCCUCAAGCAGUCUUGUCUUGACCUCUCAAACCAGUGGGACUGUAGGUGUGAGCCAUUGCUCCUGGCUGAGCACUGUUUUUUUUAGGACAGACUGUAUUCAUUGUUGCAAUCUUCAGCUUUUGGAACAUCGUCUAGGACAGAGAAGCUGCACAAUAUGUAUUUAUCGAAUGAGUGAAUGAUACUUUUGGGAGAGAAGACAGUGGGUUGGAGAAAUAUCUUGGAAGAAUUGGAAAUUUUAGGUGGACCUUGAAGAAAGGGUAAAAUUCAAUUAGGACACAAGCAGUGAUCAAAAGCAUUGAGUUGGGAACAAAGUGGUAGGAUGUGGGAGUUAGUAUAUAGUAAAAACAACUAAAAUAUAGAAAGAGAUUAUGUGUUUAAUAGAAAUAGGAUUGACUAAAGUGAAUCCACGUUGUAUCUGUAAGAGGUCCAUCGUUGAACUUUAUUUUUUUUUGUUUUGUUUUUGAGACAGGGUCUCACUCUGUUAUCUAGGCUGGAGUGCGGUGGCACAAUCUCAGCUCACUGCAGCCUCAGCCUCCCAGGUUCAAGUGAUUCUCCUGCUUCAGCCUCCCAUAUAGGGAUUACAGGCCUGCACCACCACACCUGGCUAAUUUUUGUAUUUUUAGUACAGACGGGAUUUCACCAUGUUGGCCAGGCUGGUCUCGAACUCCUGACUUCAAGUGAUCCACCCGCCUCGGCCUUCCAGAGUGCUGGGAUUACAGGCCUGAGCCACUGCACCCAGCCACCUGUAUUUAUUUUUGAGACAGGGUCUUGUUCUGUCGCCUUGGCUGGAGUGCAGUGGUGCAAUCAUGGCUCACUGCAGCCUUGACUUCCCAGGCUCAAUGAAUAGCUGGGACUACAGGUGUGCACCACCAUACCCGGCUAAUUUUUGUAUUUUUUGUAGAGAUGGUGUUUCGCCAUCUUGCCCAAGCUGGUCUCAAACUCCUGGCCUCAAGUGAUCCACCCGUCUAGGCCUCCUACAGUGCUGGGAUUACAGGGUUGAGCCACCACACCCAGCCUCAUGGUUGAAUUUUAGGAGAGCCGUACAUCUCCUCCUGAUAAUACAUGCAAAACUUCAUGUGUCCAUUUUUUUCUGAGUUGAAGUUUCAUAGUUUUCAUCCAAUUCUCAAAGGUGUUUAUAAACCAAUAAAGGUUAAGAAUCAUGUUGUGCAUUUGAAAGACUAAUAGAAAGGCUUAAGCUUAAUGCUGUAGCAAAUUAGUCUUCAAAAGUUUUCUACCAUAGCAUUCAUUAGGAACAGAAGAGGGGGAAUGAGACCCUAAGAUUUAGAGAUGAAGUCUGAAACUUAGGACUUUAUAUUUAUCUGAACAUCAUAUGUAAAUUUUACUAUUAUGGGACUGGUAUUAAUGCUUCCUUAUAAAAAUAUAUUUAGCCUCAUCAGUGAUCAGGGAACCAUAUUUGGGACCAGUCUGUUCAGUUGGCAAAAAUUAAAAAGGCCAUCAUAUCAGAAAGGAGAAGGUAAAAUGAUUUGUUCACAGACAGCAUGAUCUUUUAUGUACAAAACCCUAAAGAUUCCACCCAAAAAACCCUGUUAGAACUAAAAAACAAAGUUGCAGGAUGCAAAACCACACAAAAUUUAGUUGCAUUUCGAUGUAAAAUUUAAAAAGGAAAUCUUAAAAAUUCCAUUUGCAACAGCAUCAGAACUAAAAUACUUGUGAAUAAAUUUAACCAAAGAGGCAAGACUUGUACACUGACAACUACAAACAUUGCUGAAGCAAAUUAAAGAAUAUAGAAAUAAGUGGAAUGACGCACUGUGUUCAUAGAUUGAAACAGUUAAUAUUAAGAUGUUGAUACUACUCAAAGUGAUCUACAGAUUCAUUAGGUAAUCCCUGUCAAAAUCCCAGUGACUUUUUUUCAGAAAUAGAAAAAUUCAUCCUAAAAUGUAUAUGAAAACUCAGAGUACCCCAAAUAGCCAAACAAUUUUGCAAGAGAACAAAGUUGAAGGUCUCAUGCUUCCUGAUUUCAAAAUUUAACUAUAAAGCUACAGUAAUCAAAACACUGUAGUCCUAGCAUAAAGACAGACAUAUAGAAUAAAGAACCCAGAACUAAACCCUCACAUAUAUGGUCAAUUGAUUUUUGACAAGGUUGUCAAGACCAGUCAAUCAAUGGAGAAAGGAUAUCCAGUUUUCUCCAUUUUUACAUGUGGAUAUCCAGUUUUCCCAACACCAUGUAUUUAAAAGAUAAAUAACCUAAAUGAUAAAUCUAAAUGUCUAAAAAAUAAAUAAUCUAAAAAUAUCCAGUUUUUUUGGGGUCAGGUGCAGUGGCUUACGCCUGUAAUCCCAACACUUCGGGAGGCCGAGGUGGGCAGAUCACUUGAGGUCAGGAGUUCGAGACUAGCCUGGCCAACAUGGUGAAACCCCAUCUCUACUAUAAAUGCAAAAAUUAUCUGGGUGUGGUAGCGGGCACCUGUAAUCCCAGCUACUUGAGAGCCAGAGGCUCGAGAAUCGCUUGAACCCGAGAGGCUGAGGUUGCAGUGAGCCAAGAUCGUGCCACUGCAUUCCAGUUGGGGUGACAGAGCGAGACUGAGUCAAAAAAAAAAAAAAUCCAGUUUUCCCAACAGCAUUUAUCUUUUCAAUAAAUGGUGUAUUUUGCAUGUGGAUAAUCCAGUUUUCCCAACACGAUUUAUCUUUAAGAUAGCCACAUGCAAAAUUAACUCAAAAUGGAUCAAAGACUUAAAUGAAAGUGCUAAAACUCUUAGAUGAAAACAGGAAAACCUUCAUGACAUUGGAUUUGGCAAUGAUUUAUUGAAUAUAACACCAGAAGCAAAGGCAACAAAAAAUAAAUUGGACUUUAUCAAAAUUAAAAAUGUUUAUUCAUCAAAGGACACAACAGAGUGAAAAGGAAACUCAUGGAAUGGGAGAAAUAUUUACAAAGCAUAUAUCUGGUAAGGGAUUAAAAUCCAUUAUAAAUACAUUUUAAAAUCCUUCAACUCACCAAAUAAAAUCCCAAUUCAAAAAUGGGCAAAGGACUUAAACAAAGGUUUCUCCAAAGAAGAUAAGCAAAUGGCUGAUAAGCCCAUGAAAAGAUGGUCAACAUAACUAACUAGGGAAUUGCAAAACAAACCACUUCACACUCAUUAGGAUGGCAGUUAUUUAAAAAAAAACAAAACAGGGCCAGGUGCAGUGGCUCAUGCCUGUAAUCCCAGCACUUUGGGAGGCCGAGGCGGGUGUAUCACGAGGUUGGGAGUUCAAGACCAGCAUGAACAACAUGGUGAAACCCUGUCUGUACUAAAAAUACAAAAAUUAGGUGUGGUGGCGUAUGCCUGUAAUCCCAGCUUCUCAGGAAGCUGAAGCAGGAGAAUCACUUGAACACAGGAGGUGGAGGUUGCAGUGAGCCGAGAUCAUGCCACUGCACUCUAGCCUGGGCGACAGACCGAGACUCCAUCUCAAAAAAAAAAAAAAAAGUAUUAGUGAGGAAGUGAAGAAAGUCAACCCCUUAUGCAUUGCUGGGAUGAAUAUAAAAUGAUACAGUCGGGAUGGGAAAUCAGUAUGGUUGUUCCUCAAAAAAUUAAACCUAAGGUUGGGCACAGUGGCUCACGCUUGUAAUCCCUGCACUUCGGGAGGCUGAGGCAGGUGGAUCUUGUGAGCCCAAAAGUUUGAGAUCAUCCUGGGCAACAUGGCAAAACCCUGUCUCUAGAAAAAGUACAAAAAUUAGCCAGGUGUAAUAGUACAUGCCUGUAGUUCCAGCUACUCAGGAGGCUGAGGUGGGAGGAUCACCUGUGCCCAGGAGGUUGAGGCUGCAGUGAGCCAUGAGCAUGCCACUGCACUAAAUAAAGAAUUACCAUAGGAUCCAGCAAUUCCACUUCUAGUAUCUACCAAAAGAAUUGAAAGCAGGGACUUCAAAAGAUAUUUAUAUAUCCAUGUUCAUGGCAGCAUUAUUCACAGUAGCCAAAAGGUGGAAGUAUCCCAAGGGUCCAUCAAUGGAUGAAUGGAUAAAAUAAUAUGGUAUAUACAUACAAUGGGAUAUCAUUCUGCCUUGAGAAAUUCUGACAUGUGUUAUAACAUGGAUGAACUUUGAAGAUACACUAAGUGAGAUAAGCUAGCCACAAAAGAACAAAUAGUGUAUGAUUUCUCUAAUACCAGAAGUAAACCAAAAGUAUCCAAGACAGGUCUCAAUCCAUUUAGGAAGUUUAUUUUGACAGGGUUAAGGAUGUACCUGUAAUACAGCCUCAAGUGGUCCCAAGGUGGUCGGGGUACAGCUUGCUUUUAUACGUUUUAGAGAGUCAUGAGACAUCAAUCAAUACAUGUAAGAUGUACAUUGGUUUAAUCUGGAAAGGCAGGAACACUUGAAACUGGGGCUUCCAGGUCAUAGGUAGAUUAAAAAAAUUUUUUUAUUAUACUUUUAGGGUACAUGUGCACAACAUGCAGGUUUGUUACAUAUGUAUACAUGUGCCAUGUUGGUGUGCUGCACCCAUUAACUCGUCAUUUAACAUUAGGUAUAUCUCCCAAUGCUAUCCCUCCCCCUCCCCCCACCCCACAACAGGCCCCAGUGUGUGAUGUUCCCCUUCCCCUGUCCAUGUGUUCUCAUUGUUCAAUUCCCACCUAUGAGUGAGAACAUGUGGUGUUUGGUUUUUUAUCCUUGCGAUAGUUUGCUGAGAAUGAUGGUUUCCAGCUUCAUCCAUGUCCCUACAAAGGACAUGAACUCAUCAUUUUUUAUGGCUGCAUAGUAUUCCAUGGUGUAUAUGUGCCACAUUUUCUUAAUCCAGUCUAUCAUUGUUGGACAUUUGGAUUGGUUCCAAGUCUUUGCUAUUGUGAAUAGUGCCACAAUAAACAUACGUGUGCACGUGUCUUUAUAGCAGCAUGUUUUAUAAUCCUUUGGGUAUAUACCCAGUAAUAGGAUGGCUGGGUCAAAUGGUAUUUCUAGUUCUAGAUCCCUGAAGAAUCACCACACUGACUUCCACAAUGGUUGAACUAGAGUCCCACCAACGUGUAAAAGUGUUCCUAUUUCUCCACAUCCUCUCCAGCACCAGUUGUUUCCUGACUUUUUAAUGAUCGCCAUUCUAACUGGUGUGAGAUGGUAUUUCAUUGUGGGUUUGAUUUGCAUUUCUCUGAUGGCCAGUGAUGAUGAGCAUUUUUUCAUGUGUCUAUUGGUUGCAUAAAUGUCUUCUUUUGAGAAGUGUCUGUUCAUAUCCUUCUCCCACUUUUUGAUGGGGUUGUUUGUUUUUUUCUUGUAAACUUGUUGGAGUUCAUUGUAGAUUCUGGAUAUUAGCCCUUUGUCAGAUAAGUAGAUUGCAAAAAUCUUCUCCCAUUCUGUAGGUUGCCUGUUCACUCUGAUGGUAGUUUCUUUUGCUGUGCAGAAGCUCUUUAGUUUAAUUAGAUCCCAUUUAUCUAGUUUGGCUUUUGUUGCCAUUGCUUUUGGUGUUUUAGACAUGAAGUCCUUGCCCAUGCCUAUGUCCUGAAUGGUAUUGCCUAGGUUUUCUUCUAGGGUUUUUAUGGUUUCAGGUCUAACAUUUAAGUCUUUAGUCCAUCUUGAAUUAAUUUUUGUGUAAGGUGUAAGGAAGGGAUCCAGUUUCAGCUUUCUACAUAUGGCUAGCCAGUUUUCCCAGCACCAUUUAUAAAAUAGGGAAUCCUUUCCCCAUUUCUUAUUUUUGUCAGGUUUGUCAAAGAUCAGAUGGUUGUAGAUAUGUGGCAUUAUUUCUGAGGGCUCUGUUCUGUUCCAUUGGUCUACAUCUCUGUUUUGGUACCAGUACCAUGCUGUUUUCGUUACUGUAGCCUUGUAGUAUAGUUUGAAGUCAGGUAGCGUGAUGCCUCCAGCUUUGUUCUUUUGGCUUAGGAUUGUCUUGGCAAUGCAGGCUCUUUUUUGGUUGCAUAUGAACUUUAAAGUAGUUUUUUCCAAUUCUGUGAAGAAAGUCAUUGGUAGCUUGAUGGGGAUGGCAUUGAAUCUAUAAAUUACCUUGGGCAGUAUGGCCAUUUUCACGAUAUUGAUUCUUCCUACCCAUGAGCAUGGAAUGUUCUUCAUUUGUUUGUAUCCUCUUUUAUUUCAUCGAGCAGUGAUUUGUAGUUCUCCUUGAAGAGGUCCUUCACAUCACUUGUAAGUUGGAUUCCUGGGUAUUUUAUUCUCUUUGAAGCAAUUGUGAAUGGGAGUUCACUCAUGAUUUGGCUCUGUGUUUGUCUGUUAUUGGUGUAUAAGAAUGCUUGUGAUUUUUGCACAUUGAUUUUGUAUCCUGAGACUUUGCUGAAGUCGCCUAUCAGCUUAAGGAGAUUUUGGGCUGAGACAAUGGGGUUUUCUAGAUAUACAAUCAUGUCAUCUGCAAACAGGGACAAUUUGACUUCCUCUUUUCCUAAUUGAAUACCCUUUAUUUCCUUCUCCUGCCUGAUUGCCCUGGCCAGAACUUCCAACACUAUGUUGAAUAGGAGUGGUGAGAGAGGACAUCCCUGUCUUGUGCCAGUUUUCAAAGGGAAUGCUUCCAGUUUUUGCCCAUUCAGUAUGAUAUUGGCUGUGGGUUUAUCAUAGAUAGCUCUUAUUAUUUUGAGAUAUGUCCCAUCAAUACCUAAUUUAUUGAGAGUUUUUAGCAUGAAGAGUUGUUGAAUUUUGUCAAAGGCCUUUUCUGCAUCUAUUGAGAUAAUCAUGUGGUUUUUGUCAUUGGUUCUCUUUAUAUUAUGGAUUACGUUUAUUGAUUUGUGUACAUUGAACCAGUCUUGCAUCCCAGGGAUGAAGCCCACUUGAUCAUGGUGGAUAAGCUUUUUGAUGUGCUGCUGGAUUCGGUUUGCCAGUAUUUUAUCGAGGACAUUUGCAUCGAUGUUCAUCAGGGAUAUUGGUCUAAAAUUCUCUUUUUUCAUUGUGUCUCUGCCAGGCUUUGGUAUCAGGAUGAUGCUGGCAUCAUACAAUGAGUUAGGGAGGUUUCCCUCUUUUUCUAUUGAUUGGAAUAGUUUCGGAAGGAAUGGUACCAACUCCUCCUUGUACCUCUGGUAGAAUUCGGCUGUGAAUCCAUCUGGUCCUGGACUUUUUUUGGUUGGUAAGCUAUUAAUUAUUGCAUCAAUUUCAGAGCCUGUUAUUGGUGUAUUCAGAGAUUCAACUUCUUCCUGGUUUAGUCUUGGGAGGGUGUAUAUGUCGAGGAAUUUAUCCAUUUCUUCUAGAUUUUCUAGUUGAUUUGUGUAGAGGUGUUUAUAAUAUUCUCUGAUGGUAGUUUCUAUUUCUGUGGGAUCGGUGGUGAUAUCCCCUUUAUCAUUUUUUUAUUGCGUCUAUUUGAUUCUUCUCUCUUUUCUUCUUUAUUAGUCUUGCUGGUAGUCUAUCAAUUUUGUUGAUCUUUUCAAAAAACCAGCUCCUGGAUUGAUUGAUUUUUUGAAGGGUUUUUUGUGUCUCUAUUUCCUUCAGUUCUGCUCUGAUCUUAGUUAUUUCUUGCCUUCUGGUAGCUUUUGAAUGUGUUUGCUCUUGCUUCUCUAGUUCUUUUAAUUGUGAUGUUAGGGUGUCAAUUUUAGCUCUUUCCUGCUUUCUCUUGUGGGCAUUUAGUGCUAUAAAUUUCCCUCUACACACUGCUUUGAAUGUGUCCCAGAGAUUCUAGUAUGUUGUGUCUUUGUUCUUGUUGGUUUCAAAGAAUAUCUUUAUUUCUGCCUUCAUUUUGUUAUGUACCCAGUAGUCAUUCAGGAGCAGGUUGUUCAGUUUCCAUGUAGUUGAGUGGUUUUGAGUGAGUUUCUUAAUCCUGAGUUCUAGUUUGAUUGCACUGUGGUCUGAGAGACAGUUUUUUAUAAUUUCUGUUCUUUUACAUUUGCUGAGGAAUAAGUAUGGUGUGAUGCUGAAAAGAAUGUAUAUUCUGUUGAUUUGGGGUGGAGAGUUCUGUAGAUGUCUAUUAGGUCUGCUUGGUGCAGAGCUGAGUUCAAUUGCUGGAUAUCCUUGUUAACUUUCUGUCUCGUUGAUCUGUCUAAUGUUGACAGUGGGGUGUUAAAGUCUCCCAUUAUUAUUGUGUAGGAGUCUAAGUCUCUUUGUAGGUCUCUAAGGACUUGCUUUAUGAAUCUGGGUGAUCCUGUAUUGGUUGCAUAUAUAUUUAGGAUAGUUAGCUCUUCUCGUUGAAUUGAUCCCUUUACCAUUAUGUAAUGGCCUUCUUUGUCUCUUUUGAUCUUUGUUGGUUUAAAGUCUGUUUUAUCAGAGACUAGGAUUGCAACCACUGCCUUUUUUUGUUUUCCAUUUGCUUGGUAGAUCUUCCUCCAUCCCUUUAUUUUGAGCCUAUAUGUGUCUCUGCAGAUGAGAUGGGUUUCCUGAAUACAGCACACUGAUGGGUCUUGACUCUUUAUCCAAUUUGCCAGUCUGUGUUUUUUAAUUGGAGCAUUUAGCCCAUUUACAUUUAAGGUUAAUAUUGUUAUGUGUGAAUUUGAUCCUGUCAUGAUGAUGUUAGCUGGUUAUUUUGCUCGUUAGUUGAUGCAGUUUCUUCCUAGCCUCGAUGGUCUUUACAAUUUGACAUGAUUUUGCAGUGGCUGGUACUGGUUGUUCCUUUCCAUGUUUAGUGCUUCCUUCAGGAGCUCUUUUAGAGCAGGCCUUGUGGUGACAAAAUCUCUCAGCAUUUGCUUGUCUGUAAAGGAUUUUAUUUCUCCUUCACUUAUGAAGCUGAGUUUGGCUGGAUAUGAAAUUCUGGGUUGAAAAUUCUUUUCUUUAAGAAUGUUGAAUAUUGGCCCCCACUCCCUUCUGGCUUGUAGAGUUUCUGCCAAGAGAUCAGUUAUUAGUCUGAUGGGCUUCCCUUUGUGGGUAACCUGACCUUUCUCUCUGGCUGCCCUUAACAUUUUUUCCUUUAUUUCAACUUUGGUGAAUCUGACAAUUAUGUGUCUGGGAGUUGCUCUUCUCAAGGAGUAUCUCUGUGGCGUUCUCCGUAUUUCCUGAAUCUGAAUGUUGGCCUGCCUUGCUAGAUUGGGGAAGUUCUCCUGGAUAAUAUCCUGCAGUGUUUUCCAACUUGGUUCCAUUCUCCCCGUCACUUUCAGGUACACCAAUCAGACGUAGAUUUGGUCUUUUCACAUAGUCCCAUAUUUCUUGGAGGCUUUGUUCGUUUCUUUUUAUUCUUUUUUCUCUAAACUUCCCUUCUUGCUUCAUUUCAUUCAUUUCAUCUUCCAUCACUGAUACCCUUUCUUCCAGUUGAUCGAAUCGGCUACUGAGGCUUGUACAUUCAUCACGUAGUUUUCUUGCCUUGGUUUUCAGCUCCAUCAGGGCCUUUAAGGACUUCUCUGCAUUGGUUAUUCUAGUUAGCCAUUCGUCUAAUUUUUUUUUUCAAGGUUUUUAACUUCUUUGCCGUGGGUUCGAACUUCCUCCUUUAGCUCAGAGUAGUUCAAUUGUCCGAAGCCUUCUUCUCUCAACUCGUCAAAGUCAUUCUCCGUCCAGCUUAGUUCCGUUGCUGGUGAGGAGCUGCAUUCCUUUGGAGGAGGAGAGGUGCUCUGAUUUUUAGAGUUUCCAGUUUUUCUGCUGUUUUUUCCCCAUCUUUGUGGUUUUAUCGAGCUUUGGUCUUUGAUGAUGGUGACGUACAGAUGGGGUUUUGGUGUGGAUGUCCUUUCUGUUUGUUAGUUUUCCUUCUAAAAGUCAGGACCCUCAGCUGCAGGUAUGUUGCAGUUUGCUGGAGGUCCAUUCCAGACCCUGUUUGCCUGGGUAUCAGUAGCAGGGGCUGCAGAACAGCAGAUAUUGGUGAACAGCAAAUGUUGCUGCCUGAUCGUUCCUCUGGAAGUUUUGUCUCAGAGGAGUACCCGGCCAUGUGAGGUGUCAGUCUGCCUCUACUGGGGGAUGCCUCCCAGUUAGGCUACUCGGCGGUCAGGGACUCACUUGAGGAGUCAGUCUGUCCAUUCUCAGAUCUUCAGCUGCAUGCUGGGAGAACCACUACUCUCUUCAAAGCUGUCAGACAGGGACAUUUAAGUCUGCAGAGGAUUCUGCUGCCUUUUGUUUGGCUAUGCCCUGCCCCCAGAGGUGGAGUCUACAGAUGCAGGCAAGCCUCUUUGAGCUGCGGUGGGCUCCACCCAGUUCGAGCUUCCUGGCCGCUUUAUUUACCUACUCAAGCCUCGGCAAUGGCGGGCACCCCUCCCCCAGCCUCGCUGCUGCCUUGCAGUUUGAUCUUAGACUGCUGUGCUAGCAAUGAGCAAGGCUCCACGGGCGUAGGACCCUCCGAGCCAUGCACGGGAUAUAAUCUCCUGGUGUGCCGUUUGCUAAGACCAUUGGAAAAGUGCAGUAUUAGGGUGGGAGUGACCUGAUUUUCCAGGUGCUGUCUAUCAUCCCUUUCUUUGACUAGGAAAGGGAAUUCCCUGACCCCUUGCGCUUCCUGGGUGAGGCGAUGCCUUGCCCUGCUUUGGCUCACGCUUGGUGCGCUGCACCCACUGUCCUGCACCCACUGUCUGACACUCCUCAGUGAGAUGAACCCGGCACCUCAGUUGGAAAUGCAGAAAUCACCCAUCUUCUGCGUUGCUCACGCUGGGAGCUGUAGACUGGAGCUGUUCCUAUUUGGCCAUCUUGGCUCCUCCUCAUUUUAAAAUGUUCUGAUCAGCAGUUGGUUGAAAGAGUUAUCAAUGAGUGUCUGGGUUACAGUAAGAAGUUGUAGAGACCAAGGUUUUAUCAUGCAGAUGAAGCCUCCAGGUGGCAGGCUUCACAGAGAAUAGACUGUAAAUAUUUCUUAUCAGACUUUAAGAGUCUGUUCUGUCAGUAAUUCCAAAAGAGAGGAGGGUAUAAUUAGGCAUAUCCAGCUCCCUGCUUCCAUAAUGACCUGAGCUAGUUUUUCAAGUUCACUUUGGAAUGCCCUUGGCCGAGAGAAGGCUUCCAUUCUGAUAGUGUGGGUUGGGGGGAAGAGGGGAUGGUGCUUAUAAUUUUAUUUUUGGUUUAAACAGGUAUCUAGAGUAGUCAUAUCCAUCAGGACAAAAAAUAGAAUGAUGGUUUCCUAGGCUGGAGGAGGGGAGAAUUGAGAGAUAUUUUUAGAUACAGAUUUAUUUUAUUUUAUUUUAUUUUAUUUUUUUGAGAUGGUAUCUCACUCUGUUGCCCAGGUUGGAGUGCAGUGGUGUAAUCUCAGCUCACUGCAACCUCCACUUCCUAGGUUCAAACUAUUGUCCCACCUCAGCUUCCCGAGUAGCUGGGAUUACAGGCAUGCGCCACCAUAUCCAGCUAGUUUUUGUAUUUUUAGUGGAGAUGGGGUUUCACCAUGUUGGCCAGGCUGGUCAUGAACUGCCGACCUCUGAUGAUCUGCCCACCUCGGCCUCCCAAAAUGUUGGGAUUACAGGUGUGAGCCACUGCGCCCAGCCUAGAUACAGAAUUUCAGUUGAAGAAGAUAAGUUCUAGAGAUGGAUGGUGGUAAUGGUUGUACAGCAGUGUGCAUGUACUGAAUGUCUCUGAACUAUAUACUUAAAAAUGUUUAAAAUGGUAAACCUGAUAUAUAUAUGUUAAAGAAAUGUUUAAAGUUGGCCCAUAUCUGGAGGAUACAGAUCAUCAGAAUAUCUUAAUCAUUGCUGGUGGGAGUGUAAAUUGGUAUAGCGCUUUUGGAACAAUUUGGCGUUAUCCUGUAAAGAUAAACAUUUCCAUGCCCUUUGACCUGCCAUUUUGCUCCUAGGCAUAUACAUAAAAGAAACUUUGUUUUUUUUUUUGAGACAGAGUUUGCUCUGUUGUCCAGGCUCAAGUAAAGUGGCACAAUCACAGCUCACUGCAUCCUUGAUCUUCUGGCCUCCAGCUAUCCUCCCACUUCACCCUGCUAGUAGCUGGGACUACAGGUGCAUGCCACCAUGCCCAGCAAAUUUUUUUUUGUUUUUUUUUGGUAGAGGCAGGGUUUCACUAUUGUAUUAGUUCAUUUUUACGCUGCUGAUAAAAACAUAACCGAAACUAAAACCAAAAAGAGGUUUAAUUGGACUUACAGUUCCACGUGGCUGGGGAGGCCUCAGAAUCUUGGUGGGAGGCAAAAAGCACUUCUUUUUUUUUUUUUUUUUUUUUUUUUUGAGACGGAGUCUCACUCUGUCACCAGGCUGGAGUGCAGUGGCGUGAUCUCGGCUCACUGCAACCUCUGCCUCCUGGGUUCAAGUGAUUCUUCUGCCUCAACCUUCCAAGUAGCUGGGACAACAGGCGCACGCCAUCAUGCCCAACUAAUUUUUGUAUUUUUAGUAGAGAUGGGGUUUCAUCAUGAUGGCCAGGCUGGUCUCCAUCUCCUGACCUUGUGAUCUGCCCACCUUGGCCUCCCAAAGUGCUGGGAUUACAGGCCUGAGCCACCAGGCCUGGUCAAAGGCAUUUCUUAAUGGCAGUGGCAAGAGAUAAAUGAGGAAGAAGUAAAAGCGGAAACACCUGAUAAAACCAUCAGAUCUCGUGAGAUUUACUAUCACGAGAAUAGCACAGAAAAGACCAGCCCCCAUGAUUCAGUUACCUCCCCUUGGGUCCCUCCCACGACACGGGGGAAUUCUGGGAGAUACAAUUCAAGUUGAGAUUUGGGUGGGGACACAGCCAAACCAUAUCAACUAUCUUGUCCAAGCUGGUCUUGAACUCCUGGGCUCAAGCGAUCAUCCUGCCUCAGCCUCCCAAAGUGCUGGGAUUAUAGGAAUAAGCCACUGCCCCCAGUUCAAAAAAACUUUUUAACGAGUAUCAGGUCAUGCAUACAAGAGUGUUCAUGUGAGCACUCUUUUUAAUACCAAAACCUGAAAACAACCCAAAUGCCCAUUAACAGGCAAGGGAAUAGACAAAUUAAUUAGAAGCUCCUGGAGGACAGGGACCACCUCUACAAAAAAUAAAAAAUCAGUACCUUCCCCAUCUCACACAGUGUCCCAGGACCCUGCAGGGCAGUGGAGGUGCACCCAUAAAUAAAUAAGGAUAUAUUUAUAUCCACUCCAAGUGAAUGUACCAUAAUUAUAUGCCAUAAUGUGGAUUAAUCCUAGCAAUAUAGUAUUAAGUGAAAAGCAUAUGUCCUUAAAGAUUACAUAUAAAGUUAAUAACAUCUAAACACUCCCUCCCCCCAAAAAAACCCCACUCUUUUUGAAUAUAUUUACAUGUGACAUUAAAAGGGAAAACAGAAUGAUUUCAGUAGUGUUACCUUGGAAUGGGGAAGAGGCUGGGUGAUACAACUGAAGAUCAAACAGGUGAAUAUGAAUGGAAAUUCAUUUCCUAGUUUUCAUGUUGGUGAUAAUGUCAAGUGUAUUUGUUGUAUUAUUUUAAAUGAAUGAAUGAAUGAAUGAAGGAUUGAGGGUCUUGAAUGCACCAACAAUGAGAAUGUGUCAUGAGUCGAGAAUAAUGAUGUAUCUAAUUCUAUGCAUCUGUGCAUCUGAAGGGGCCUUAGAAAAUGCAUUCUGUAUCUGUUUGAUAUAAAUAAGGGGAAGAUGGUGGGGGGGGGAGUGAUGUUUUAAAUUACUCAGCAUCAAAUAAAAUGGAUACUCUGGAAAAAUGUGUCACAUUUCUCCUGUGGUUUCUAGUACCCUCUGACCAAUUGCCACUUUUGCCUGGGCAUUUAAGCAUCCCAAUUUUAGGAGACUGGUGAUAGUGGAAAGUCAGUGAAACAUCUUAAGCUUGCAUAAGAAUUUUGCAAAACAAGCAGUGUUUCUUUUUUAAAAAAAAAAUUAGUCUGGAAGCCUUAUAUCAGAUAGAUUCAUUUGGGAGAGAGAUCACAUUCAGGGAAACCAACUAUUAGGCUGUCACUAUAACACAAUUUUUAGUGAGGAAUCCCUUGACCAAGUAAGUAGUAUCAGCAGAAAUUAAGAAGAAAGAGCAAAUCCAAGAGCAUUGGUGGUUCAUAGAAUUAAAGAUAUUGUGGUUCUUAGAAU